AAGCUCAAAUUUAAAAUCUGGCGGUCUUUGGCCGUCCGAGUUGUAAUCUAGAGAAGUAAUGCCCGUGCUGGACCGUGUAUAAGUCUCCUGGGAUGGGGCGUCAUAGAGGGUGAGAAUCCCGUCUUUGACACGGACUACCAGUGCAUUGUGGUAUGCUCUCAAAGAGUCGAGUUGUUUGGGAAUGCAGCUCAAAAUGGGUGGUAAAUUCCAUCUAAAGCUAAAUAUUGGCGAGAGACCGAUAGCGAACAAGUACCGUGAGGGAAAGAUGAAAAGAACUUUGGAAAGAGAGUUAAACAGUACGUGAAAUUGCUGAAAGGGAAACGCUUGAAGUCAGUCGCAUUGGCCAGGGAUCAGCCUUGCUUUUGCAUGGUGUACUUUCUGGUUAAUGGGUCAGCAUCAAUUUUGACCACUGGAAAAGGCUCAAGGGAAUGUGGCAGCUUCGGCUGUGUUAUAGCCCCUGUUCACAUACAGUGGUUGGGAUUGAGGAACUCAGCACGCCGCAUGGCCGGGUUUCGACCACGUUCGUGCUUAGGAUGCUGGCAUAAUGGCUUUAAGCGACCCGUCUUGAAACACGGACCAAGGAGUCUAACAUGCCUGCGAGUAUUUGGGUGGAAAACCCAAGUGCGCAAUGAAAGUGAAAGUUGAGAUCCCUGUCGUGGGGAGCAUCGACGCCCGGACCAGAACUUUUGGGACGGAUCCGCGGUGGAGCAUGUAUGUUGGGACCCGAAAGAUGGUGAACUAUGCCUGAAUAGGGUGAAGCCAGAGGAAACUCUGGUGGAGGCUCGUAGCGAUUCUGACGUGCAAAUCGAUCG
RNAcentral lists this ribosomal RNA (812 nucleotides) under Agaricus bresadolanus. Its description in RNAcentral is "partial large subunit ribosomal RNA". It matches the Rfam family "Eukaryotic large subunit ribosomal RNA", at positions 104 to 904 of the family's 3401-position model. Lineage: Eukaryota; Fungi; Basidiomycota; Agaricomycetes; Agaricales; Agaricaceae. The record is from RNAcentral.